AGUGAACGCUGGCGGUAGGCCUAACACAUGCAAGUCGAACGGCAGCACAGUAAGAACUUGCUCUUACGGGUGGCGCGUGGCGGACGGGUGAGGAAUACAUCGGAAUCUACUUUUUCGUGGGGGAUAACGUAGGGAAACUUACGCGAGUAACGCAUACGACCUACUGGUGAAAGCAGGGGAUCUUCGGACCUUUCGGGAUGGAAUAGGCCGAUGUCGGAUUAGCUAGUUGGCGGGGUAAAGGCCCACCAAGGCGACGAUCCGUAGCUGGUCUGAGAGGAUGAUCAGCCACACUGGAACUGAGACACGGUCCAGACUCCUACGGGAGGCAGCAGCGGCGAAUAUUGGACAAUGGGCGCAAGCCUGAUCCAGCCAUACCGCGUGGGUGAAGAAGGCCUUCGGGUUCUAAAGCCCUUUUGUUGGGAAAGAAAAGCAGCAGGUUAAUACCCCGCUGUUAUGACGGUACCCAAAGAAUAAGCACCGGCUAACUUCGUG
RNAcentral lists this ribosomal RNA (492 nucleotides) under uncultured bacterium. Its description in RNAcentral is "partial 16S ribosomal RNA". It matches the Rfam family "Bacterial small subunit ribosomal RNA", at positions 29 to 507 of the family's 1533-position model. The record is from RNAcentral.